GAUGAACGCUGGCGGCGUGCCUAAUACAUGCAAGUCGAGCGAACGGACGAGAAGCUUGCUUCUCUGAUGUUAGCGGCGGACGGGUGAGUAACACGUGGAUAACCUACCUAUAAGACUGGGAUAACUUCGGGAAACCGGAGCUAAUACCGGAUAAUAUUUUGAACCGCAUGGUUCAAAAGUGAAAGACGGUCUUGCUGUCACUUAUAGAUGGAUCCGCGCUGCAUUAGCUAGUUGGUAAGGUAACGGCUUACCAAGGCAACGAUGCAUAGCCGACCUGAGAGGAUGAUCGGCCACACUAGAACUGAGACACGGUCCAUACUCCUACGGGAGGCAGCAGUAGGGAAUCUUCCGCAAUGGGCGAAAACCUGACGGAACAACGCCGCGUCAGUUAUGAAGGUCUUCGGAUCGUAAAACUCUGUUAUUAGGGAAGAACAUAUGUGUAAGUAACUGUGCACAUCUUGACGGUACCUAAUCAGAAAGCCACGGCUAACUACGUG
RNAcentral lists this ribosomal RNA (497 nucleotides) under uncultured bacterium. RNAcentral describes it as "partial 16S ribosomal RNA". It matches the Rfam family "Bacterial small subunit ribosomal RNA", at positions 28 to 507 of the family's 1533-position model. The record is from RNAcentral.